This 468-nucleotide ribosomal RNA is filed under the name uncultured bacterium. RNAcentral describes it as "partial 16S ribosomal RNA". It matches the Rfam family "Bacterial small subunit ribosomal RNA", at positions 28 to 507 of the family's 1533-position model. The record is from RNAcentral.
GACGAACGCUGGCGGCGUGCUUAACACAUGCAAGUCGAACGGAAAGGCCCUGCUUUCGUGGGGUGCUCGAGUGGCGAACGGGUGAGUAACACGUGAGUAACCUGCCCUUGACUUUGGGAUAACUUCAGGAAACUGGGGCUAAUACCGGAUAGGAGCUCCUGCUGCAUGGUGGGGGUUGGAACGUUUCGGCGGUUGGGGAUGGACUCGCGGCUUAUCAGCUUGUUGGUGGGGUAGUGGCUUACCAAGGCUUUGACGGGUAGCCGGCCUGAGAGGGUGACCGGGCACAUUGGGACUGAGAUACGGCCCAGAGUGCAACGGUGGGCAGCAGGGGGGAGUAGUGCACAAUGGGCGGAAGCCGGAUGCAGCAACGCUGCGUGCGGGAUGACGGCCUUCGGGUUGUAAACCGCUUUCGCCUGUGACGAAGCGGGAGUGACGGUAAUGGGUAAAGAAGCACCGGCUAACUACGUG